GACGAACGCUGGCGGCGUGCUUAACACAUGCAAGUUGUGCGACGAUGCAUGAAGUAGCAAUACGGAGUGUAUACGGAGCAGCGGACGGGUGAGUACAACAUGAGAAUCUGUCCUUCAGCGGGGGACAACGUUUGGAAACGGACGCUGAUACCCCAUAGGCCUACGGGUUAAAGCAGAGAUGCGCUGGAGGAGGGGCUCGUGUCCUAUCAGCUUGAUGGUGAGGUAACGGCUCACCAUGGCGAUGACGGGUAGCCGGCCUGAGAGGGUGACCGGCCACACUGGAACUGAGAAACGGUCCAGACUCCUACGGGAGGCAGCAGUGGGGAAUAUUGGGCAAUGGGAGAAAUCCUGACCCAGCAACGCCGCGUGAACGAAGAAGGCCCUUGGGUCGUAAAGUUCUUUUAUACGGGAAGAAGGAAGUGACGGUACCGUAUGAAUAAGCCCCGGCUAACUACGUGCCAGCCGCCGCAGUAA
RNAcentral lists this ribosomal RNA (474 nucleotides) under uncultured bacterium. RNAcentral describes it as "partial 16S ribosomal RNA". It matches the Rfam family "Bacterial small subunit ribosomal RNA", at positions 28 to 523 of the family's 1533-position model. The record is from RNAcentral.